This 75-nucleotide transfer RNA is filed under the name Oscillospiraceae bacterium. Its description in RNAcentral is "tRNA-Cys". It matches the Rfam family "tRNA". From Rfam's summary of the family: Transfer RNA (tRNA) molecules are approximately 80 nucleotides in length. Their secondary structure includes four short double-helical elements and three loops (D, anti-codon, and T loops). The record is from RNAcentral. Lineage: Bacteria; Bacillati; Bacillota; Clostridia; Eubacteriales; Oscillospiraceae.
GGUGCCAUAGCCAAGCGGUAAGGCAAAGGUCUGCAAAACCUUCAUUCCCCAGUUCAAAUCUGGGUGGCACCUCCA